AAUCAACGCUGGCGGCGUGCCUCAGACAUGCAAGUCGAACGAGAAAGUUUCCUUCGGGGAAUGAGUAAAGUGGCGCACGGGUGAGUAACACGUAGGUAAUCUACCUUCGGGUGGGGAAGUAACCCAGGGAAACUUGGGCUAACACCGCAUAAUGCAGCGGCACCACAUGGUGACAGUUGUUAAAGCGGGGGAGUCUUAGGACCUCGCGCCUGAAGAGGAGCCUGCGGCGGAUUAGCUAGUUGGUAAGGUAACGGCUUACCAAGGCGACGAUCCGUAACCGGCCUGAGAGGGCGGUCGGUCACACUGACACUGACAUACGGGUCAGACUCCUACGGGAGGCAGCAGUCGGG
RNAcentral lists this ribosomal RNA (350 nucleotides) under uncultured bacterium. RNAcentral's name for it is "bacterial SSU rRNA". It matches the Rfam family "Bacterial small subunit ribosomal RNA", at positions 32 to 359 of the family's 1533-position model. The record is from RNAcentral.